Molecule: long non-coding RNA, 381 nt
Organism: Ctenocephalides felis (cat flea)
Lineage: Eukaryota; Metazoa; Arthropoda; Insecta; Siphonaptera; Pulicidae
Exons: 4
Source: RefSeq, a predicted model, not a curated record
AUUUGACAUUAUAAACUCUUCUUUUAACUACGAUUGACAUGUUUGUAAAUAAAGAAAACUACCUCUUUAUUUUCAAACUUCGACACCCUAAACCCUAGACAAUAUAAUAAUGUUCGGCACUUAAAUAGAAAUACAGAGUUAGUUGAAGGCAAAUUACGAAUCUGUGUUCUGCAUAAAAAAUAUGAUUCCAGUCCGCCGAAUUCGAAGUGUUGUUAAACAUGUGCAAGGAGCGAUUUUGACAUCAAAAACAGCAAGUUUGAAGAAUCGAAUAAACCUCAAAAAUGUUUAAAGAGAGGAGGAUGACUGAAUGUCGAAGAAGAUAAUUCAACGCAGAAUAUGAUAACAUUGAGAACUAAAUGUUUUAUUUAUUUAUGAUGAGAA